Molecule: ribosomal RNA, 501 nt
Filed under: uncultured Glomus
Lineage: Eukaryota; Fungi; Glomeromycota; Glomeromycetes; Glomerales; Glomeraceae
Description: SSU rRNA
Rfam family: Eukaryotic small subunit ribosomal RNA
Source: RNAcentral
AGCAGCCGCGGUAAUUCCAGCUCCAAUAGCGUAUAUUAAAGUUGUUGCAGUUAAAAAGCUCGUAGUUGAAUUUCGAGAUCAAAUUGUUGGUCGUGCCUUGGUACGCACUGGCAUUAUUGGUUUCUCCCUUCUGAAGAACCAAGAUGUCAUUAAUUUGGUGUCUUGGGGAAUCAGGACUGUUACUUUGAAAAAAUUAGAGUGUUUAAAGCAGGCUCACGCUUGAAUACAUUAGCAUGGAAUAAUGAAAUAGGACGUUUGAUCCUAUUUUGUUGGUUUCUAGGAUCGACGUAAUGAUUAAUAGGGAUAGUUGGGGGCAUUAGUAUUCAAUUGUCAGAGGUGAAAUUCUUGGAUUUAUUGAAGACUAACUACUGCGAAAGCAUUUGCCAAGGAUGUUUUCAUUAAUCAAGACGAAAGUUAGGGGAUCGAAGACGAUCAGAUACCGUCGUAGUCUUAACCAUAAACUAUGCCGACUAGGGAUCGGAUGAUGUUAAUUUUUUUAAU